GCGGGUAUCGUAUAACGGCUAAUAUAUCUGCCUUCCAAGCAGAGGAUGAAGGUUCGAUUCCUUCUACCCGCACCA
This 75-nucleotide transfer RNA is filed under the name Candidatus Saccharimonadota bacterium. RNAcentral describes it as "tRNA-Gly". It matches the Rfam family "tRNA". Rfam says of the family: Transfer RNA (tRNA) molecules are approximately 80 nucleotides in length. Their secondary structure includes four short double-helical elements and three loops (D, anti-codon, and T loops). The record is from RNAcentral. Lineage: Bacteria; Candidatus Saccharimonadota.